GACACACCCGCCUAUGGUUAGAAGGAGCAAACGAGCCCACCAUUCUGCCCCUGUGAUAGCUACCCUUUUGAGGAAGAACAUUCCAGAACAGAAGACUAGAGACAGAAACUGGUUGCCUUUGUUACCAAGAAGCUCUUGAAAAAUGCAGCAUCAGCCAGAAUCUAAAUUUGUGCAAAUGGGUCAACAGGAAAUUUCACCCAGUCAGACCAACUUCACAAAGGCCCCAUGGGGGCUCUACCACUCAGAGAGCCCUGUUAAGAAAAUUGCCACUUUCAGCCAGACCCUGAGGGCGACGCGGAAGUCUCACCAAGUUCUUCACACCCCUUGUGGCUUCUCCUCCUGGGCUGCAGCUUCUGAGGCACGGGAGCCCCAUCUUCUGGAAUUUUCCCCACACUCUUUCUCUACUGGAGUGAUGGGUUCCUUCCCCGGACAGUAUUCGUUCUGUCCCCUUGUCACCCGUCAUGUCAUCUUUGGCUGGAACGGGCUCAGACAAAGAAUGCUGAAGGAAUGGAUGAAUGAUGAAGCAAUGAGCCAGAUGACAAGCAGGUACUAUAUCUGAUGUUCUGGGGGCCCGUCCUAGGGCCUACACACAGGUG
This 596-nucleotide long non-coding RNA is filed under the name Equus caballus (horse). RNAcentral describes it as "lncRNA (ENSECAG00000043844.1)". Lineage: Eukaryota; Metazoa; Chordata; Mammalia; Perissodactyla; Equidae. The record is from RNAcentral.